RNAcentral lists this non-coding RNA (24 nucleotides) under Arabidopsis thaliana (thale cress). Lineage: Eukaryota; Viridiplantae; Streptophyta; Magnoliopsida; Brassicales; Brassicaceae. The record is from RNAcentral.
UCCUAUAACACAAUGAUAUGAUAC